RNAcentral lists this ribosomal RNA (455 nucleotides) under uncultured organism. Its description in RNAcentral is "bacterial SSU rRNA". It matches the Rfam family "Bacterial small subunit ribosomal RNA", at positions 346 to 794 of the family's 1533-position model. The record is from RNAcentral.
GCGCAGCAGUCGCGAAUUUUUCUCAAUGGGGGAAACCCUGAAGGAGCGACGCCGCGUGGAGGAUGAAGGCUUUCGGGUUGUAAACUCCUGUCAUUUGAGAACAAGUGGCCGAACGUAACUACUUCGGCCUUGAUAGUAUCAGAAGAGGAAGGGACGGCUAACUCUGUGCCAGCAGCCGCGGUAAUACAGAGGUCUCAAGCGUUGUUCGGAUUCAUUGGGCGUAAAGGGUGCGUAGGUGGCGCCGUAAGUCGGGUGUGAAAUUUCGGAGCUUAACUCCGAAACUGCAUUCGAUACUGCGGUGCUUGAGGACUGGAGAGGAGACUGGAAUUUACGGUGUAGCAGUGAAAUGCGUAGAGAUCGUAAGGAAGACCAGUGGCGAAGGCGGGUCUCUGGACGGUUCCUGACACUGAGGCACGAAGGCCAGGGGAGCAAACGGGAUUAGAUACCCCCGUAGU